This 253-nucleotide ribosomal RNA is filed under the name uncultured bacterium. Its description in RNAcentral is "partial 16S ribosomal RNA". It matches the Rfam family "Bacterial small subunit ribosomal RNA", at positions 524 to 776 of the family's 1533-position model. The record is from RNAcentral.
UACGUAGGGUGCGAGCGUUGUCCGGAAUUAUUGGGCGUAAAGGGCUCGUAGGCGGUCUGUCGCGUCGGUAGUGAAAACUCAGGGCUUAACCCUGAGCCUGCUUCCGAUACGGGCAGACUAGAGGUAUGCAGGGGAGAAUGGAAUUCCUGGUGUAGCGGUGAAAUGCGCAGAUAUCAGGAGGAACACCAGUGGCGAAGGCGGUUCUCUGGGCAUUACCUGACGCCGAGGAGCGAAAGUGUGGGGAGCGAACAGG